Molecule: transfer RNA, 88 nt
Filed under: Lactococcus lactis
Lineage: Bacteria; Bacillati; Bacillota; Bacilli; Lactobacillales; Streptococcaceae
Description: tRNA-Ser
Rfam family: tRNA
About the family: Transfer RNA (tRNA) molecules are approximately 80 nucleotides in length. Their secondary structure includes four short double-helical elements and three loops (D, anti-codon, and T loops). Further hydrogen bonds mediate the characteristic L-shaped molecular structure. tRNAs have two regions of fundamental functional importance: the anti-codon, which is responsible for specific mRNA codon recognition, and the 3' end, to which the tRNAs corresponding amino acid is attached (by aminoacyl-tRNA synthetases). tRNAs cope with the degeneracy of the genetic code in two manners: having more than one tRNA (with a specific anti-codon) for a particular amino acid; and 'wobble' base-pairing, i.e. permitting non-standard base-pairing at the 3rd anti-codon position.
Source: RNAcentral
CGGAGCCAUGGCAGAGUGGUAAUGCAACGGACUCUAAAUCCGUCGAACCGUGUAAAGCGGCGCAGGGGUUCAAAUCCCCUUGACUCCU